Long non-coding RNA from Bufo bufo (common toad), 211 nucleotides. RefSeq lists it as uncharacterized. The transcript has 3 exons. Lineage: Eukaryota; Metazoa; Chordata; Amphibia; Anura; Bufonidae. The record is from RefSeq and is a predicted model, not a curated record.
CCUAUUCUUGUCCGCAGCUGCGGACAAGAAUAGGACAUGUUCUAUCUUUUGCAGAGCUGUGGACCGCAAGUUCGGGGCCGAAACCCGGAAGUUCAGGGCCGCGCUCCGCAAAUGCGGAAGCGGAGAGCACAUAGUGUGCUCUUCGCUUCACCUCCGGGCCCAUAGAGAAUAAAUGGGUCCGCACCCGUUCCGCAAAAUUGCGGAACGGGUG